GACCUGAGAGGGUGAUCGGCCACACUGGGACUGAGACACGGCCCAGACUCCUACGGGAGGCAGCAGUAGGGAAUCUUCCGCAAUGGACGAAAGUCUGACGGAGCAACGCCGCGUGAGUGAUGAAGGUUUUCGGAUCGUAAAGCUCUGUUGUUAGGGAAGAACAAGUGCAAGAGUAACUGCUUGCACCUUGACGGUACCUAACCAGAAAGCCACGGCUAACUACGUGCCAGCAGCCGCGGUUAUACGUAGGUGGCAAGCGUUGUCUGGAAUUAUUGGGCGUAAAGGGCUCGCAGGCGGUUUCUUAAGUCUGAUGUGAAAGCCCCCGGCUCAACCGGGGAGGGUCAUUGGAAACUG
RNAcentral lists this ribosomal RNA (354 nucleotides) under bacterium LimB-10-A-329. RNAcentral describes it as "bacterial SSU rRNA". It matches the Rfam family "Bacterial small subunit ribosomal RNA", at positions 289 to 635 of the family's 1533-position model. The record is from RNAcentral.